RNAcentral lists this ribosomal RNA (243 nucleotides) under Escherichia coli. Its description in RNAcentral is "partial 23S ribosomal RNA". It matches the Rfam family "Bacterial large subunit ribosomal RNA", at positions 948 to 1190 of the family's 2925-position model. Lineage: Bacteria; Pseudomonadati; Pseudomonadota; Gammaproteobacteria; Enterobacterales; Enterobacteriaceae. The record is from RNAcentral. RNAcentral also lists the same sequence under 3 other names.
UGCAAACUGCGAAUACCGGAGAAUGUUAUCACGGGAGACACACGGCGGGUGCUAACGUCCGUCGUGAAGAGGGAAACAACCCAGACCGCCAGCUAAGGUCCCAAAGUCAUGGUUAAGUGGGAAACGAUGUGGGAAGGCCCAGACAGCCAGGAUGUUGGCUUAGAAGCAGCCAUCAUUUAAAGAAAGCGUAAUAGCUCACUGGUCGAGUCGGCCUGCGCGGAAGAUGUAACGGGGCUAAACCAU